ACGAACGCUGGCGGCGUGCUUAACACAUGCAAGUCGAACGGAAAGGCCCUGCUUUUGUGGGGUGCUCGCGUGGCGAACGGGUGAGUAACACGUGAGUAACCUGCCCUUGACUUUGGGAUAACUUCAGGAAACUGGGGCUAAUACCGGAUAGGAGCUCCUGCUGCAUGGUGGGGGUUGGAAAGUUUCGGCGGUUGGGGAUGGACUCGCGGCUUAUCAGCUUGUUGGUGGGGUAGUGGCUUACCAAGGCUUUGACGGGUAGCCGGCCUGAGAGGGGGACCGGCCACAUUGGGACUGAGAUACGGCCCAGACUCCUACGGGAGGCAGCAGUGGGGAAUAUUGCACAAUGGGCGGAAGCCUGAUGCAGCAACGCCGCGUGCGGGAUGACGGCCUUCGGGUUGUAAACCGCUUUCGCCUGUGACGAAGCGUGAGUGACGGUAAUGGGUAAAGAAGCACCGGCUAACUACGUG
RNAcentral lists this ribosomal RNA (467 nucleotides) under uncultured bacterium. RNAcentral's name for it is "partial 16S ribosomal RNA". It matches the Rfam family "Bacterial small subunit ribosomal RNA", at positions 29 to 507 of the family's 1533-position model. The record is from RNAcentral.